Non-coding RNA from Brachypodium distachyon (stiff brome), 136 nucleotides. NCBI's taxonomy places the organism in Eukaryota, Viridiplantae, Streptophyta, Magnoliopsida, Poales, Poaceae. The record is from Rfam.
GUUCUACUUCCUCCAUCCAACAAAGUAUGUCUCAACUUUGACUAAAUUUGAAUGCAUCUAUACACCAAGUCAUGUCUAUAUACAUCGAAAUUUUGACAAACUUGAGUUAUCUUUUGUUGGACGGAGGGAGUAUGUU